This 59-nucleotide transfer RNA is filed under the name Strongylocentrotus purpuratus (purple sea urchin). It matches the Rfam family "tRNA", at positions 7 to 64 of the family's 71-position model. From Rfam's summary of the family: Transfer RNA (tRNA) molecules are approximately 80 nucleotides in length. Their secondary structure includes four short double-helical elements and three loops (D, anti-codon, and T loops). The record is from Rfam by way of RNAcentral. Lineage: Eukaryota; Metazoa; Echinodermata; Echinoidea; Camarodonta; Strongylocentrotidae.
AUGGCCUGGUGGUAGAGUCGCUGCCUGACAAGCAGUUAGAUGCAGGUUCAAGUCCCGCU